UAUUGGGUUAUACUGAGUGAAAAUGUUCGAUAUUCAUUUUUUACUUCUGAAAUUUAAAUUCCAUGGAAGCAAUUGUAUGUUUGAAAUUCCAUCCUGUUAUAUGUGCAAAUCUUAGUACUGAUGUUUUAGUGCUUCUUCUUUUCUACAGAAAUACCAGGAAAGACAAUCCUUACUCCUUAGCCAUUGUGCAUGUCGAAUUCGCAGAAUCCCAAGUUUAGGAUACGGUCUUCAGCUAAUAAGAAAUCUGAUAGUGUUCAAGACUAUGUGAAAUCGUCAUGCAUUCCAAGGAGGUGUAGAAGUAGCAGGCCAAAUUUACCCUCAGGUUUAUCUGUUUCCAAGCGGAAUGGGAGGCUUGAUUCAUCUGAGUCCGACAUGAAUGUCGAGGGAAUGAGGAAGAAGCUUAAGACGGUAUCGCAGGUGACCAUGGAAGCUGAAAAGUCUAAGGUUCCCUUAGACUCAGUUGUUUCAAAGCCAGCGAAGUUGACUGGCCGUAGUUUCAAGAUUAGAUUCAAAAGAGGGCGCGAAGUGGAAAGUGUAUCAGGCAAAGAAACAUCUAAUGUAAGUGGAGGGAGGUCGCCCAUUCUAUCCUCUAAUCUAAAACAGGUGAAAAGUAAUGAAGAUCAAGAGAACAUCCCUUCACAGAAGAGGCUGGCACUGGAGGAUAACAGUGCAGAUAUUCGUAAAACUGUAAAAGAAAUCAAGGAAAAAUGUGCAAAGCGGAUGGAGAAGCUCAUUCAGGAACAGAAGGGGAAAAUUCAGGAGUUUCAUCGUGUUUGGGAGGAUAAUAUGUCACAAUUGGAAAAUGAUCGUAAACUGGAAGCGGCCAUUAUUCGUUCUAUAUACGGCAAUGGAACAAUAACGAUAGACAAGCUCGCGAUCUUGGAUGAUAAAUUUGCGAAAAAAAUGGCAGAGAACAAUCUCGAAAAGGACAAGCAACUUAGAGAUCUUGAGGCAGAACACUCAGCUGCAAAAAAUGAGGAGAUCCAAAAGGAAGCUAACUCUCUGUCUGAAGCAAAAUCCCUUGUCUCUAGCAAGCCUACAGCAUACCGCAAAGAACAGCCAUUGGGGUCGCAACAUGAAGAAGUUUCUAGACGUUCUAAGUCGAGAACGCAUAUCCUAGGUGCUAAGGAUGCAAUGGCCUUAACUGAGCAGCAUGAAAAAGAUAGUGAUUCAAGUAUAACUGUGAAGAGGAAUCAUGUUGAACGAUCCAAAAAUUCUGAUCGUGCUACAGCUGAGGAAGUAGCAUGUAAACCCUCUUGUGAAAAUCCAAGUAGUGCGAAAAAAAUGGCAGAGAACAAUCUCGAAAAGGACAGGCAACUUAGAGAUCUUGAGGCAGAACACUCAACUGCAAAAAAUGAGGAAAUCCAAAAGGAAGCUAGCUCUCUGUCUGAAGCAAAAUCCCUUGUCUCCAGCAAGCCUACAGCAUACCGCAAAGAACAGCCAUUGGGGUCGCAACAUGAAGAAGUUACUAGAUGUUCUAAGUCGAGAACGCAUUUCCUAGGUGCUAAGGAUGCAAUGGCCCUAACUGAGCAGCAUGAAAAAGAUGGUGAUUCAAGUAUAACUGUGAAGAGGAAUCAUGUUGAACGAUCCAAAAAUUCUGAUCGUGCUACAGCUGAGGAAGUAGCAUGUAAACCCUCUUGUGAAAAUCCAAGUAGUGCGAAAAAAAUGGCAGAGAACAAUCUCGAAAAGGACAAGCAACUUAGAGAUCUUGAGGCAGAACACUCAACUGCAAAAAAUGAGGAGAUCCAAAAGGAAGCUAACUCUCUGUCUGAAGCAAAAUCCCACGUCUCUAGCAAGCCUACAGCAUACCGCAAAGAACAGCCAUUUGGGUCGCAACAUGUAGAAGUUUCGAGAUGUUCUAAGUCGAGAACGCAUAUCCUAGGUGCUAAGGAUGCAAUUGCCCCAACUGAGCAGCAUGGAAAAGAUAGUGAUUCAAGUAUAACUGUGAAGAGGAAUCAUGUUGAGCGAUCCAAAAAUUCUGAUCGUGCUACAGCUGAGGAAGUAGCAUGUAAACCCUCUUGUGAAAAUCUUAGUAGUGCAGCCAUUUAUCUAAAAUUAUUGGAUGUUGAGAACAAUCUCCAAAAGGACAAGCAACUUAAGGAUCUUGAGGCAGAACAAUCAGCUACAAGAAAUGAGGAGAUCCAAAAGGAAGUUAACUCUCUGUCUGAAGCAAAAGCCUGCGUCUCUAGCAAGCCUACAGCAUACAGCAAAGAACAGCCAUUUGGUUCACAACAUGAAGAAGUUUCUAGAUGUUCUAAGUCGAGAACGCAUAUCCUCGGUGCUAAGGAUGCUAUGGCCUUAACCGUGAAGCAUGGACAAAAUAGUGAUUCAAGUAGAACUGUGAAGGCAAAUCGUGUUGUACGAUCCAAAAACUCUGAUCAUGCUACAGCUGAGGAAGUAGCAUGUAACCCUUUUUAUGGAAAUCCAAGUGGUGAAGCAAAUAGUAGUAAAAAAAAGGGAGGUGGUAUAUCUGACUCAGAUAUACGGAUUUCGGCUGUUGUUGAGAAGAUUAAUCUGCCAAUGCAUUUGGGUGCCGGGGGAAGUAUCCUUGCCAAUCUGGAGACUUCUGGUGAAAUGCAACUGCUUGAGCUGCACGGAGAGGUUCCAUCUAAGAUGCCUGAAACAGUUGCUUAUGAAAUGUUGGAUGAGGAUGCAAUUGAUUUACCUGAUGCAGAGCAGCUUGCUGUACCAGAGCAUUUUGGUUGUGCUGAAAAAAUCUCUGUGAAGCCCCCUGAUUCUGGAGAAAGAGCUGUCGGUGACAUGCAAUUUCCCAAUCUAUGUAAAGACAUUCCUGCAGAAUGGACUGAAACUGAUGAUGAAAUUGUUGAUAAUGUCAACCCAAUGGAAUUGAGUGCUAAUACUUCUAUUAAUGGAUUUGGUGAAGAGACUGCAAUUAAUUUCCCUGAUGCUUUGCUAAACCAGAGAAAUAAGACUGACAGGACCACCAUUGAUGAUCUUGAUUUGGCUGGAAAGGUACGAGAAGAGCAAGAUGUGGUACCUUCUGAAAUACAAGGCCAUGUUAUAGAGGAAGCAGGAAGGGUAAACUCUUCUCUCUCUGAGAUUGCCACUGCAGAACUUGUUGAUACUGCCAGAGAGUCUCUGUCGAAUAUUGAACCACAAGCCAGUGAGGAGCUUGCACUAGAAACUCAAAGUUCAUCAAGAGCUGAAGCUUCAGAGUUGAAAGUCACUGACACUGUAAUAGCUAAACUGUCUUCUGUACAAAUACAAGAUCAGAACACCUCAGUUGUUAAAGACCAAGUUACUUCACAGAUAGAAGCUGCAGACUCAGAGAGAGUUGACACUGCAGCCUCUGUUUCUGCAUCAGAACAUGUUGGUACUGUAAAGACUUUGGAAUCAUAUAACAAACUCCAAGACAACACUGAGCUGGAAAUAGAAACUCGAAGUAUGUCAUGGAUUGAAGUUUCAUACAUCGAGGACAUGAACAAUAGAUCACAUAUGCUGUCCAGUAUAGAACAGCAAGAUGAAGAUGCAGUAAUUAUUACCAAUCGGGUUAAUUUGGAGACUGAGGCAUCAAAUUCACUACUACCUGACAAUGCAACCCCUGAGCAAUCCCAUACUGAUGCACCAUCGAUUGAAAGUGAUGAGAAGCUGCAGCUCAUGAAUAUUGACGCAUCUCCAAGCCGUAACCAUUUGCCAUCCCCUGAACUUGAAAGUCAAAAUCAUAAUCUGGCAAGAAAUUCCUCUGGAGCUGCUGUGACUGAAAUUCUUUCACAUGCAUCCGUAGAUUUGGAUAAUAGUCCUGAUGUCAGAGAUGAACUAACAAGUGUUCAGAUAUCUGCUUCUGUCCAGAAUAAUGUAGCUACAGAAGAGGUGUUGAGUGCAAAUGAAGUCUUACAUGAUGCUGUUCUACAGUUCGGAGGUCUAACCCAUCUUCCUAUUAAUCAAAUUUCUCCAUCUCUGUUUGCUGAUCCACUUCAAAAUGAAUUGGAAAUAAUAAAAAAAGAAUCUGAAGAACUGCAGAAAAUUCACGAUGAACUGAUAGAAGGGCUAAAUUCUGAAUGCAAAAAAGAGAUGCAAGAACUUUUCGAUGCAGUAAAAAAGAAAUACCAGCUCAAAAUUCAGGAUACUCGAGCACAAUUUGUAGUGAAGAACAAUGGACUUUGUCAGAGGGGGAAGAAAAUUUUGAUGAAUAAGAUGUUGGCUGAUUCCUUCAACUAUAGUUGCUUGAAUAUGUCGUCUAUUUGGCCUGCAUUGCAGCAAGGUUUUCCUUCCAGUUCCAUGCAAUAUCAUCAACACAUGGUUAGGCCUGCUGGGGCUUGUGCUCCCAACCAGCAGAUUGCAAGCCCAAUUGGGCAAGCCAUGCCGCAGAUAUCAGUGCCUGGUUCUACGAGAGGUGGGCCUAUCACUAGCCAACAUUUUGCACCUCCAUGUGUACAACCUACUCCGUAUUUUGAAGCUUUGCGAAGACAGGGGACCAUCUUUGGAGUUCAUCCCACGAGUCUUCCGCAUUUUGGAGGAGAUAUAUAUUCUUCAGCUCAGCAGUUUCAGUCUUCUAUUCUUGGUCCAGCACAAUCCAUACCCAAUGCUACUUUGAUAUCAUCCUUCCAAAAUAUGCAGCAACCGCAACAGCCUCUAGCAGCUCCACAGUGGCAAUCAAACUUUCAUAAUCCUCAACAUCAUGGUUAUCCACCUUCUGUGAUGCAUACACCUGUGUCAUCACAGUGUCCAUCAAACUUUCACAAUCCUCAACAUCGUGGUUAUCCACCUGCUGUGAUGCCUACAUCUGUGUCAUCGUUUGAUUCGCUAAUGGAUGUGGAGCAUCUUCGUCGUCAUCACCAGCUACUUGGUGCUGUGCGGGGGCAACCAGAGCUCUUGCACCGGAGCAGCUAAUGCUAUCUGCUUAUCUGAUUUACACUAGCUUUUCUUCUACGAUCAUUUUGGAAGCCUCACCGUCAUAUCCUCACUGGUAAUUUGGGUGUCUCCAAUGGCGGACAUCCCGGUAGGACGUCGCCGACGUCCUACCCGACGUCCGCCGUAGUGAAGGGGAAGGGUGCCCACGCCCGUCCCAUGUGCCCGUCCCAUGUCCUCGCCCCUCAGCCCGACGUCCUACCUGACGUCCGCCACUGUGGCGUGGGUAGGACGUCCCACUCGGACGUCCCACCGAAAAUUAAUUUAAA
RNA transcript from Salvia hispanica, 5138 nucleotides. RefSeq lists it as uncharacterized. Lineage: Eukaryota; Viridiplantae; Streptophyta; Magnoliopsida; Lamiales; Lamiaceae. The record is from RefSeq and is a predicted model, not a curated record.